AUAUCAUGAUGAAGAUAUCUUCUGAGUAAGUCUUUAAAUAUUUCCCAUACAUUAUACAAACUUUCGUCUUCAAGUUGAUGGAAAGAUGUUAUUUCAUUCCUCAAUUU
This is a non-coding RNA of Citrus sinensis (sweet orange), 107 nucleotides long. The record is from Rfam. NCBI's taxonomy places the organism in Eukaryota, Viridiplantae, Streptophyta, Magnoliopsida, Sapindales, Rutaceae.